AUCUUCCACAAUGGACGGAAGUCUGCUGGAGCAACGCCGCGUGAGCGAAGAAGGUUUUCGGAUCGUCAAGCUCUGUUGUAAGGGAAGAACACGUACAGCAGUAACUGCCUGUACCUUGACGGUACCUUACCCGAAAGCCAACGCUAACAACGUGCAAGCAGCCGCGGUAAUACGGAGGUGGCAGCCGUUGGCCGGAAUUAUUGGGGGUAAAGGGCGCGGAGGAAGUCCUUUAAGUCUGAUGUGAAAGCCCACGGCUCAACCGUGGAGGGUCAUUGGAAACUGGAGGACUUGAGUACAGAAGAGGAAAGCGGAAUUCCACGUGUAGCGGUGAAAUGCGUAGAGAUGUAGAGGAACACCAGUGGCGAAGGCGGCUUUCUGGUCUGUAACUGACGCUGAGGCGCGAAAGCGUGGGGAGC
This 416-nucleotide ribosomal RNA is filed under the name uncultured bacterium. RNAcentral describes it as "partial 16S ribosomal RNA". It matches the Rfam family "Bacterial small subunit ribosomal RNA", at positions 361 to 769 of the family's 1533-position model. The record is from RNAcentral.